GCCAGGUGCAGUGGUGGACACCUAUAGCCCAGCUACUUGGGAGACUGAGGCAGGUGGAUCACUUCAGUCCAGGAGUCCUGGACUAUGGGGUGCUAUGCCAAUCAGGUGUAAGUUUCAAAUCCAUAUAGUAAUCUCCUCAGAGCAGGGGUCCACCAGAUUGGCUAAGGAGUGGUAAAUCAGCCCUGGUUGAAAUCAGAAGAGUUCAAAAUUCCCCUGCUGAUCAGUAGUGGGAUUGUGCCCACUGUGAAUAGCCAUUGCACUUCUGCCUGGGCAAUGUAUAAAUCCCA
RNAcentral lists this signal recognition particle RNA (287 nucleotides) under Jaculus jaculus (lesser Egyptian jerboa). RNAcentral's name for it is "Metazoan signal recognition particle RNA (ENSJJAG00000005630.1)". It matches the Rfam family "Metazoan signal recognition particle RNA". Rfam says of the family: The signal recognition particle (SRP) is a universally conserved ribonucleoprotein. It is involved in the co-translational targeting of proteins to membranes. The record is from RNAcentral. Lineage: Eukaryota; Metazoa; Chordata; Mammalia; Rodentia; Dipodidae.